CCGAAUCCAAUCCGGGUGAGAAAAAGAGCCGAAGCUGAUUGGAUUCUGGAAAAAAAAAAUUAGUAAAUCAAAAUUGAAGCAGAAGAAGAAAAAGUAGAGCAGAGUGCAAAUUUGGAGUGAAUGGAGUUACAGAGGAGGAGAGUAGCAGAAGCAAUCCAUGUCUUGAAUCACGAUUCUCAAUCUUCCAACAGAGUCGCAGCUAAUCAAUGGCUUGUUCAUUCAUUCAUUCAAAAAAAAAUGGCUUGUUCACUUCCAGCAAACUCUGGAGGCUUGGGAGAGAAACAAUUGGAGAAGAUCUUCCUCAUGUUUUAUUGUACAAAGUACAGUUUCUUAGCGAUACACUUCUAAAAACCAGAUCUUCUAAAUGCUGAUUUUGAAGUUGUCUCUGGCCUAGCAUGCUUGAUGUCUGAGAUAGGACAGGCUGUGAGUAUGGGACGUUAUUGCUAUUCACUUAACUUCUUUUUUUUUUUUCCUUUUUGUGAGACUCAUGUUGGUUUUGUUCCAAAUAAACUCACAACCUUUAGCAUUUUUUUUUUUGGGUCAGUUGCCAACACCAAGCAGAUUCCGCUUUGGUUUACGUUUGCAUUUUGUAAAAAUAUCUCGUGAAAAAAUGAAUAUGUUUUUCCUUUUUCUUUUCAUGAAAACAGAAACAUAAACUUUUGACAUUUUAAACAAACCAGGCCUCAACUAUAGAAACUUUCUACAGUUUUCUCAGCUUUAGUUGAUGCUCUUGUGCUGCGCGCUCACGUUACAUCUUAGAAACUUUCUUAAGUUCAAUGUCUCUUUCUGUUUUAUAACUAUAGAAGCUAUCAUAUCAAUUGCAGCAAUAGUAACUCCUUGGAGAAACCAGUUUCAGUGUAUUUUUAUGUAACCUUGAAAUAUUUCCUUCAUAUUCAUAUAGUUCGCAUUGUUGAUUUGGUCAACUAAUACGGUUAUUGUGGAAAUUUUGUUAAACUUGGUUUCAGCUCAUUUUCCUAACCAUCUUAGUCUCACCUUUCUUAUUUUUAACAACAGUCCUCUCGCUCUAUCUACACAAUAUUGGUUUUAGAGUUUGCCAAUUUCCUGAAUAUUAUCAAGUUCACAAAUUUUUGAACAACCGCGUUAUUAAUUGUACUGAUAGUCUUUUUUUUUGUGCUUCUAAAAUUCCUUGGCAAUGUAUCUUCAGGUCAAUGAGUUUACCUCCAGUGAUGAGAGUCCACCAGGGCUAGACCUACCUGAUGGCCAGUUGCAUUUUAGAAAUAAUCUUCUUGAGCUCUUGGUAGAUUUUUGUCAGCUACUUCAUCCUACAACAUUUGAGCGUAAGGUGUCCCCUCACUUAACAAUUCAAAAUCAUUACUUGAUUCAGUAUUUGCCACGUGACUAGUUUGUAUUAUGAAUCAGGCAGGUUUUACCCCAAGUUUGUUUUUUAUUUUGUUUGUUAAAUGCGAGGUUGAAAGCAGCGUUCGGUACUUCUUCCAUAUCUGAUCAGUUCUCACGGGUUCUAUUAGUGAACCAUGAUGCUCUGUAUAACGUUUGAGUCAUUUAGAUUACUUAUCCAUCCAUCGUCAGUUUAUGUUUUGAGAGUGGGGAUGAUAUCUCUAAGCUUGGAAGUUUACUGGAAUUGCAGUUUCUAUUGGUUUUCCUUGUCUUUACUAAGGAUUCUACCGUGUCAGGUUUCUGAGAUUAUCUUGCAAGAGGGAGAGGCUCUUGAAUUUUCAUUGAUCAUGCAACUGGUUUCUGCAUUCUCUGUCAGGCCAUCCAGUGAGCUCAAGGGGUUUAUAUGUGUUAUGUUGUUGGCUCCUUUUCAAGAUGGAUCUGUUUUUCCAAGUAACGGUAGACCCUUGCUAUUAUUUCUUGCAGGAAGGAUUUCUGAACCCAUUUGUUCACAUGCUUGUGCCUCUGCUCUUUGUAAAAUUUGUGAAGAUGUUCCUCCAGCUGUAAUGCAUGAAACAUCUAAUUUAGUCAUCUUAAUGCGGAUAGGAGAGGUUUCAGUUUCAUUCACCCCUUUCAUUAACUGUUAAGACAAGUGGAAUUUGGCGUUGGAAGAUGAAGAAGAAGUCAUUAGCGCUAUCACCGUGAUUCUCCAUUCUCGGCUCUGUUUCUAACAAAGAGCUACAAAAUAAAUUAUUAACUCAAUUGCUUUCGUCCAGUUAUGGAGUUCUCUCAAAACUUCUAAGUGUCCACAGAUGAUGCACCUCUGAGAUAGAAUUCAGACUAAUACCUCUGAUGAUUUUAAGUAGAUGAUGACGUCGAGUCUUCUAGUAGACAGAGUCCAGCCACUUACACAAGAAUGUUGAGCUCUGUUACAAGAGGUCUUUACAGGUCUGCUUCUGUGACUUCUGUAUUUACUAUCUUGCUUAAAUGCUUUGUAAUCGAGGAGGCAGCGUGUGAACUUCAAUUCAUCUAUGAAAACACUGCCAUACUUUUCAUUGUAUAUAUUUGUUCUGUUAACCUGCAUCAACUAUUUUUAAUAA
Raphanus sativus (radish) is the source of this 2453-nucleotide RNA transcript. RefSeq lists it as uncharacterized. The record is from RefSeq and is a predicted model, not a curated record. NCBI's taxonomy places the organism in Eukaryota, Viridiplantae, Streptophyta, Magnoliopsida, Brassicales, Brassicaceae. The transcript has 6 exons.